GGCCCGUUCUUCUAACGGCUUAGGAUACGAGACCCUCAUUCUCGUGCUUGUGGGUUCGAUUCCCGUACGGGCUG
Molecule: transfer RNA, 74 nt
Filed under: Planctomycetaceae bacterium
Lineage: Bacteria; Pseudomonadati; Planctomycetota; Planctomycetia; Planctomycetales; Planctomycetaceae
Description: tRNA-Glu
Rfam family: tRNA
About the family: Transfer RNA (tRNA) molecules are approximately 80 nucleotides in length. Their secondary structure includes four short double-helical elements and three loops (D, anti-codon, and T loops).
Source: RNAcentral